RNAcentral lists this ribosomal RNA (520 nucleotides) under Eminia lepida. RNAcentral's name for it is "partial 16S ribosomal RNA". It matches the Rfam family "Bacterial large subunit ribosomal RNA", at positions 1849 to 2575 of the family's 2925-position model. Lineage: Eukaryota; Metazoa; Chordata; Aves; Passeriformes; Cisticolidae. The record is from RNAcentral.
AAGGUGAUGCCUGCCCGGUGACAUGACGUUUAACGGCCGCGGUAUCCUGACCGUGCGAAGGUAGCGCAAUCAAUUGUCCCGUAAAUCGGGACACGUAUGAAUGGCUAAACGAGGUCUUAACUGUCUCUUACAGGCAAUCGGUGAAAUUGAUCUCCCUGUGCAAAAGCAGGGAUAACUACAUAAGACGAGAAGACCCUGUGGAACUUUAAAAACAGCAACCACCCCAAAAUACAUACACCCCCACCUCGGGCUCACUAUUUAUUGGGACGAUGGUCUGCAUUUUUUCGGUUGGGGCGACCUUGGAGCAAAACAAAACCUCCAAAUAUGGGACCAUUCCUCCAGACUAAGAGCAACCCCUCAAAGUGCUAAUAGCCACCAGAUCCAAUAUAAUUGAUCAAUGGACCAAGCUACCCCAGGGAUAACAGCGCAAUCUCCUCCAAGAGUCCAUAUCGACGGGGAGGUUUACGACCUCGAUGUUGGAUCAGGACAUCCUAGCGGUGCAGCAGCUGCUAAGGGUUCG